CACGUAGGGCGCGAGCGUUGUCCGGAAUUAUUGGGCGUAAAGAGCUCGUAGGCGGCCUGUUGCGUCCGCUGUGAAAGCCCGGGGCUUAACCCCGGGUCUGCAGUGGAUACGGGCAGGCUAGAGGUAGGUAGGGGAGAAUGGAAUUCCCGGUGUAGCGGUGAAAUGCGCAGAUAUCGGGAGGAACACCGGUGGCGAAGGCGACUCUCUGGUCUGUAACUGACGCUGAGGCGCGAAAGCGUGGGUAGCGAACAGG
This 253-nucleotide ribosomal RNA is filed under the name uncultured bacterium. Its description in RNAcentral is "partial 16S ribosomal RNA". It matches the Rfam family "Bacterial small subunit ribosomal RNA", at positions 524 to 776 of the family's 1533-position model. The record is from RNAcentral.